AUGUCAUUCUGGUUUUUUUCUGUCUCCAGCAGCAAGAUAACCCUAAGCCGAAGUAUUAACUCUAAUUGUUCAGAUAGACAAAAUAGUCCAGACACAUUGACGAAUGAUCCCACUCCCUCCUCUGCACCAGUCUUGCCUGCUAUCUGCACCAUGCACAAGAUGUGCUUUGGACCCUGGCCUUUUUGCCAUGGUAGAUUAAAUUAAAUUGGAACAAUACAUAGGUGAAUUUAGACAAAAAAAGGAAGGAUUGUUACACAUGUGACAUUGCCUUUCAAAGUACUUGAUGCCUGAUUAGCUGAGACCUCUUCUACACAACAGCCUGAAUAUCUGCUGAAUUACUUUGAGAAGCCAUGACUCAGGUUGUAAGUGGUGCACACACAGAAAAUUUACCCUAUGUGACAUCGAAGGGUGCGGCUUGGAACAUCUGUCAUUUUCUUUUCCUUCCCUCAUAAAAAUCUGUCAGGCAGUUUCAUCUGCAGUGCAAAGGGCACUCAGCAAAGGGCACUCAGCUGCUAUUGACUGGGAGAGAAGGUGCCCAUCAUUAUGAUAGAAAGUUAUGCCAACUGGCACUCAUGCUAACAUCUCAUACAAAAGGAGAGACUGUUUAUAAGCAGGAUGGAGUGUAAAACAGGACAGUCAUUUUGUGAUUGAAGGAGUGCCAGAAAAUAAUAAUACUUUUUAAAAAGGGAACCCUGUUACAGUUAUAUUUUUAUCAUCUGAGUGCAGAACUGAGAGAUCAGCUGGCAUGAUGUCAGGUAUCAACUUGUAGCAUACACAGCUCUUUGCAUCUGUACAUAUUCUGUGUAGAUGGUAAAAAAAUGGUCAUAAUUGAUAAUGUGUAUUUUUAUAUCAAAGUAAUUUUGUACUAGUGCCAAAGACUUCUCAAUAAGUCAGUUCAGAAAAUUCCUCCUGAGCACAACUGGUUCCUCUGCUUAAGUAUGGUCUUCACAGUCAUAUAACGGGCAGAAUGACCAUGAGAACUGCUAAAUGCUUCUAGAAAGAGAGACUGAAGAAUGAAAUAACAUUUCCAAGGUUGCACUGUAUUAAAAGAGCUGGGGGGUAAGAUUUGCUGAUUAUCUGCCCCCAGACAGAUCCAUUAAUCCUCUACCUCAAUAACUAUCGAGCACACUCUAAAUUUACAAUAGAACAAAUUACUUUUGGGAGGAAUAUUGACUUCAAGGGAGAGAAAAGUAGGGUGAAAGAAAAAAUAAUAAAUCUUGUGCAAUAUUAGGGGCUUGUAUUCUG
RNAcentral lists this long non-coding RNA (1245 nucleotides) under Parus major (Great Tit). Its description in RNAcentral is "lncRNA (ENSPMJG00000011485.1)". Lineage: Eukaryota; Metazoa; Chordata; Aves; Passeriformes; Paridae. The record is from RNAcentral.